GUGAAUCAUCGAAUUUUUGAACGCAAAUUGCACUCUCUGGCAUCCCGGAGAGUAUGCCUGUUUGAGGGUCAGUUUAAUAAAAAUCGACGUGUCGCUUUCGUGAUGCACCGUAGGUUGGGUCUUCUUAGCGUCAGGUUGAGAGUCUUAAAGUCGAUAUCUUUUUGGCGCUCUUUUAGACGUACAUAAUUUUUGUUAUACGUCUAUUC
This 206-nucleotide unclassified non-coding RNA is filed under the name Glomeraceae sp. Its description in RNAcentral is "partial contains 5.8S ribosomal RNA and internal transcribed spacer 2". The stretch from base 1 to 71 matches the Rfam family "5.8S ribosomal RNA", at positions 84 to 154 of the family's 154-position model. Lineage: Eukaryota; Fungi; Glomeromycota; Glomeromycetes; Glomerales; Glomeraceae. The record is from RNAcentral.